This 286-nucleotide unclassified non-coding RNA is filed under the name Hevea brasiliensis (rubber tree). Lineage: Eukaryota; Viridiplantae; Streptophyta; Magnoliopsida; Malpighiales; Euphorbiaceae. The record is from RNAcentral.
AAAAAGUUACUCAUGCCCUAAACAAAGCACAUCAGAAGAAACACCUGAAUAUGGUGCUGAAUGUAAACAUACUGAAAUAUCAGAACAGAAACAUCAGAUUAUGUCAGAAACUGUACAAACUGAACCAGGUGAUACUAAUACUGUAGUUUCCCAAUCUGGUGCUAGUGAAGCAUUGCAACAGUCGUCUGAUGAUGCAAUGAAAAAUUCUCUUACUGAAAAUUUGGAAGCGCCAUCUGAAGAUGCAUGCAAGAGUAGUUUGACUGAUAAAAGUUUAGGCCCUAAGCCA